CCUUUCUUUUCCUUUCUUUUCUUUUUUUCCUUAUUGCAUGUUACAGUUAAAAGUAAGCAUAGCUACAGGUAGUUAGGACUAACUUCAAAAAGCCUUUUUGUUGUGGAGUGGCUCGGCACAGUGAGUAUCUGUGGCUGCUUGUAAUGCAACAAACUCUUCUUUCCAGAGCCCACAACAUUUAUAGGUCUUUCACCACUUACAGUGAUUUACUGCUCCAUUUGACCCAUCUUCCAAGGCUCUGCAGCUACAAGAAAACAUUUUUUUUCUCUUGGCAAUUUUACCUUCUCUCUUUUCCCAUCUUCUCUCUGGUUUGUUCCUGGGCACCUUUUACCAAGCUCUGUAUUUCGGUGGCGCUGCCUGUCCUGCCCUGUUCUCAGGGGCUCUGCUGGCAGGUCUGUCUCAAUGUCACCUGUAGUUGGGCUGUUGGGAGAAGCACUGUCUCCUGUCUGUGGUCUGUGGCAUGUGUCUGCUUCAUACAUCAGCCUAAGCUUUGAAAUGAGCCUGCAUAUGCAUUCCAGGAACAGCACAUUGUUCUAACUGGUAACAAAAAUACAUGACUAACGUGCUUCUGAUAGAGCCGCUUCCUCUUAACCUUAAAGUUGAUUUUUUGUUAAUGACUUCUUCCUCCCAUGGAAACGUGGAAAACAGUCUGGGACUGCAGGUUGUUAUUCAGUAAGAAAAACACAUGAUGAAGUUUGACAUUUCACAGGAAAAAGAUGUCUAAAGAUUUAUAUCAAUGGGUUUUAUUUACUGUUUUUCUGUUCUUGAUUUUUUUAAACCCCGAAAACAAAACUCAUGCAUUGCUAUAAAGGAGGUGGGCAAGUCUUUUUCAGCAGUGAGCAGUCUGUUGAGUCACAGUAACGUACGUUCUUUCCCCAUGCUUUUUUUCUUUAAAAGAAAGAAAUUGUUAAUCAUCUACAUGUAAAAAAUAUGGAAAAUAAACCAUUGUUUGAUCACCGUAUGUCAGAAUAAAAUUAAAAGCAGAGAGAAAACAUAACAUGAGGGCUUGACAUGGUUCGCUUUGUUCUGUUGUUCCCGUGCCCACGUGCCCAUGUUGUGUUCAUUUUUUAAAGCUAAAAAAUCAUAAAAUUCAUAGGAGAUGGGCAGCGUUUGUUCCUUAUUCAAAGCCCUUCUUCCACCACAAGGCCUCCGCUGCCUGCUAAACUUGCAGGAUAUGGAUUCUGGUCACAGGAAUGCAAACCAGUGAUUUACUCUGCUUUUUCUUCUUUUUGCCUGGGGUUUAACCAGUACAUUAGACUAAUAUUUUCUUGCUUGCUAGUGGCAGUUUCUGUUUCUUUUUUUCUUUCUUUCUUUUUUUUUUUUUUUUUUUGGUAGUGGAAGUCAUUAGAGUUUCUCCCAAGAGAAUCACUGCCAAAGUAAACAAACAUCUUCAUGAAAGGAAAAUAAUGUCUGAGGAGCAUUCAGAAUUCCAUGUUUUACAGAAGAGUAUUUAUGGCAACCAACUAGUGAAUUAAAGUGAAAGAAAUCCCAUUACUAGUUUGCUGCUUCUGCUGUGCUAAUCGAAAGUGGCAAUUUCUGCUUGCUUCUCUGCGCUACAGUGCAGGGUCUCAGUAUAAGCUGUAAUUUAAAAUGAAGGAAAUUAUGAGAUGAAACUCUUUUUAGAAGCAGUGUUAUGUUGGGUUUGCUUUUAUUUUUCUUAAUUGUUGGUAAUUGUAUAGAGCUUCUGCAUGUAAAACUCAGGGGAACUGCUAUUGUCUCCAAAAUGUUCUGCGUGUGGUUGGCAAGAACAACAAGCACAGAAGAAAGUUCAGCUAAAAAAUUCAUAAAAGCUGCCUGGUGGAAUGCAUUGCAAUCAGCUGUACACCUUGGUGCUCUUAUCCCUCUGAACUGAUCAUUUUUAGCUGAGAUGAAACAUUCUGAGGAGCAGGAGCCUGGCAGAUUUGCGGCGUAGAUUGUUUGAAGGUUUAAACACUGUGACUAUCUCAUCUUACUGCAAGUCUGUAGAUAGAACAUAAGCUCAAGUUGCUGAAAAGUGAUAGAAUGGCUCUGUGUGCACAGCCUACAAAACUGUGAAGGGCUUAUUUUCUGUGUGCUUUCUGCGUUCCCUCCAGGAGAGCAGUAAUUCCCCAGUGGAGCAAGCACACUUUGCAUUUGUUGAGGAUGAGACUGUCUCUAGUCCUUUGUUUGGGCAGCGGCUUUCACAAAGGGGACCAGUACUCACUGGGAACUUGCCAGCACCAUCAUAUGUUUCAUGACAAAUGCUAAGUGUUCAGAAAGUUGGCACUACAAAAUAGAGAUACUGUUAAUCUCUGUUUAAUUCUCAAAAUGGCUUGUAGGAUUUUAAAGCUUGUGUUGUUGCUGGUGCACUCACCCAUCAGAUAGCAUUUUUAACAGCCCUUCUAAUAUGGCCGGUUAAUUUGGUUAUAUUACUAGGAUGUAAAACAAAAUGAUUCCUAGGAUAGAGAUUGCUAGAUUGCUAAGAUUUUACUGCCGUUUUUUUCCUAUCUGCUGCGUGCUGAAGAACAGUGUGUCCAGCCACAUGUAUUGCUGUAGUCAGACCAUGGUAUUUUCUCAUCUUCUUUCCCAUGUACAGCUCAGACACAGCUGCCGCUAUUUACCAAACACAAAGGUGUUUUUCACAGCUCAGAGAGUAUGUUUGGGUUCUGCUGUAAGGAACGCGAGAUACAUCUCUAUUAAUUGCAUGAAUGUUCAGUGUAUGUUUAUGUACCUGGAUACUGUGGUGUUCUCUUUGGAAUUUUAGGGAGCGAGCUCAUAGAUCUUUGGAUACGUCUCCAGAGACAUGAUGAUUCCAGCGUCAGAAUAAUCUGCUCCAUAACGUGACCACAUUUAGGAGACCAGCUCCUGGGAGGAGACCCAAGGAGACAUCUUGAAAUUUCUGAGCAGAGAGGCUUUUGACACAGAGUUGGUGUACGCCGGAUGGCAUCCAGUUGGUAGCCUGCAUUGCUGGUGCAGCAGGAGGAAGCAAGCCUCUGACAAGAGCUAGAUAUGUCACCCUGCAGGACUGCACGGACAGCUUAAAUGGAGUGUAUGUUUGCACCUAAGCAGACUGUUAAGGCUAGAAUUGAAGAUGUACAGAUUGAAAUUAAGAAGAGUAUUAACUGUAUCAUUGAGACUAAUUAUGACUACAUAUUCAGUAACAGAAGUGAGGUCAACAGCUCCAAGAGUGACUAUCGCAAUAUCCAGCAGCCAUAGCACUGACAUUGAGACUGGCUGGGCCAUGAGGUCAUGCUUCUGGGAGGAUGAAGAGGAAGGCCUGGAUGCACUGAGGAAGAGAGUUGAACUCAACUUUGCUAUACAGCAGAUGAAUAUUCACCCUGGUGUAUAUAUAUAUAUAAAUCUAUUUAUUUAAAAGCAAGUAAGUUCAACUUCUGAACAGUGCAUGGUAACUGUUAGGGAAGCUCUCUUUUUUUCUCCCACCCAUCUUCAUCCUCCUUUUAAACAUUCCUAACUUUGGUCGGGACUCAGAAACAAGAGCUCUUGAGUUCUUCAUGCACUUUACAUCUCUGAUCUGAUGAUCAGUUGUAAAUCAGUUUUAGCUUUGUCAUUUUCUACCAUUCAUGCUGUUGUGAUGAUAACAAAAUCAUGGAAAACCAAUAUGCCUCUUUCACCAUGUACAUUUGGAUUACGAAAAACAUAUUCUUGUGGUUCUUUCUUAGGGUUCGUUUAUAAUAUUUUAAUUAUUAAAAAAUAAAGAAAAGAAAUCAAAGAAAAUCUCCUGCCAUGAAAUAUGUAAAAAGCUGAAUAACAUAGAAUAUUUAUGCUUAAGUAUUUUGGAAAUGCGUUAUCUUUACAAAAGAAUCAUUGAAACCUGGGAAAUGUAGUGAAAAUAUUGUACUUCAAUAAAAUAUAUUAAAAAAGAAAAUAUAUCAAGUCAUCCAGGAAACCUUAAUUUUCUGCUAUAAUGAGAACUUGAGGGAAAUGUGAAGUUAAAUUUAGUUUAUUUCUGUAGGCACUAAAUUUUUAACUAUUUCUGCAUAGUUUUACUAAGAAUUAGGAUUGUACGACCUAAUCAUUAACUCCUCAACCUGCAUAAUUUUAGAUUUUUUUGCAGGCUUAAUCCAACUCUGGGACUGGAAAUCAUAUCUUCUAACUGUACAGCUACAAGAUGAAGGGACUAGGAAAAAAGCAGGGGAAAAUCAGAACUAUUAUGUUCAUCUCUUAUACAGAGAACACAAAACCUACUGUAAUUAUGUCAUUUCCUCUCUCAUUAUGGUAUUGAGAGCCCAGAUCCAUUUUUAUGUAGUGGUACAAAACAGUUUGCUAUUUAAGUAUAGCUUACAGGAGCUACUUUGCAGAAUUGAUAUUCACAUACGCCACAAAUCAAUUGUUCCCACGAUAUUAAAAGGGAAAAUUAUCUCGAUCUUUAAAAAUUCCCAAACCUUGGUAAAUCUCCUUGAGUAAUUGUGAUAUAAUUUUGGGUCAAUGUGCUUUGACCAAAGGUCAGUCAAAAUGAAUAAUCCAGGGAACAUUUGUUUUCCUAUUGGUAAUCCUUUUUUUUGUGCAUGCUUAUGCAGUUUGUUGUAAGUGAAGAGCUCAUAAUAUUUAUACGUUAGGAAAUCAAAGGGCUUUUCUCUCUUCUUUAUCUUUUUUGUCUUUCUUUUUCUUUUUCUUUUUCUUUUUCUUUUUCUUUUUCUUUUUC
This 4621-nucleotide long non-coding RNA is filed under the name Gallus gallus (chicken). The record is from RNAcentral. Lineage: Eukaryota; Metazoa; Chordata; Aves; Galliformes; Phasianidae.